UACAGAGGGUGCAAGCGUUAAUCGGAAUUACUGGGCGUAAAGCGUGCGUAGGCGGACACUUAAGUCGAAUGUGAAAUCCCCGGGCUUAACCUGGGAACUGCAUCCGAUACUGGGUGUCUGGAGUAUGGUAGAGGAAAGUGGAAUUCCCGGUGUAGCGGUGAAAUGCGUAGAUAUCGGGAGGAACAUCAGUGGCGAAGGCGACUUUCUGGACUAAUACUGACGCUGAGGCACGAAAGCGUGGGGAGCAAACAGG
Molecule: ribosomal RNA, 253 nt
Filed under: uncultured bacterium
Lineage: Bacteria
Description: partial 16S ribosomal RNA
Rfam family: Bacterial small subunit ribosomal RNA
Source: RNAcentral